Molecule: ribosomal RNA, 818 nt
Filed under: uncultured bacterium
Lineage: Bacteria
Description: bacterial SSU rRNA
Rfam family: Bacterial small subunit ribosomal RNA
Source: RNAcentral
GGCUGGAAUUCCCCCUUAGAGGUUGAUCCUGGCUCAGGACGAACGCUGGCGGGGCGCCUAACACAUGCAAGUCUGAACGGAGUCCCGAGGAGCUUGCUUUUCUUGACUUAGUGGCGAACGCGUGAGUGACGCGUGAUUAACCUGCCCUUGAGUGGGGGACAUCAGUUGGAAACGCAUAUGAAUACCGCAUAAGCCCUCGCAUCCGCAUGGAUCUGCGGGAAAAGGAUUUAUUUGCUUCAAGAUGAGGCUCGCGUCUAAUUAUGAUAGUUGGUGAGGUAUCGGCCCUCCAAGAGUAGGAUUUGUAGCCCGGGUGAGAGAUGUAACGCCCACAUUGGGAGUGUGACACGGCCCCCACUCUUAUGGGAGGCAGCACUGGGGGAUAUUUCACACUGGGGGAAACCCUGAUGCAGAGACGCCGCGUGGAGGAAGAAGAUCUUUUGAUUGUAAACUUCUUUUAUUAAGGAGGAAGAAAGUGACGGUACUUAAUGAAUAAGCUCCGGCUAACUACGUGCCAGCAGCCGCGGUAAUACGUAGGGAGCAAGCGUUGUCCGGAUUUACUGGGUGUAAAGGGUGCGUAGGCGGCUUUGCAAGUCAGAUGUGAAAUCUAUGGGCUCAACCCAUAGCCUGCAUUUGAAACUGCAGAUCUUGAGUGAAGUAGAGGCAGGCGGAAUUCCCCGUGUAGCGGUGAAAUGCAUAGAGAUGGGGAGGAACACCAGUGGCGAAGGCGGCCUGCUGGCCUUUAACUGACGCUGAGGCUCGAAAGCGUGGGUAGCAAACAGGAUUAGAUACCCUGGUAGUCCACCCUGUAAACGAUGAUU